CCCUAUGGGGCGCACCAGUAUACGGGUUUCUUGCCCUUGUAAAUGCUGCCGUUCAGCCAGAGCUUUCCGAACUCCUCGACGGUUACCGCCUCGUAGUCGUACGACAUGGUAAGAUAGGGAUUUUCCCAUUCGCCGAACACGCCCAGGCGCUUGAACUGCUCCCUCUGGAUUUUGUAAUAUCUCUCUGCAUAUGUACGGCAUGACCGCCUCUUGUCCGCCUGCGGCAUUUCGUGGCGCUUGUCGCCGAGUUCCUUGUCCACCUGGUGUUCAAUCGGCAGGCCGUGGCAGUCCCAUCCGGGGACAUAAAUGCUGUCCAGCCCGAACAUGUUCUUGGAUUUGAUCACUAUGUCCUUGAUGACCUUAUUCAGCGCCGUUCCCAGAUGGAUAUGGCCGUUGGCGUAGGGAGGGC
This 409-nucleotide ribosomal RNA is filed under the name uncultured prokaryote. RNAcentral's name for it is "partial 16S ribosomal RNA". The record is from RNAcentral.